RNAcentral lists this long non-coding RNA (417 nucleotides) under Citrus maxima (pomelo). Its description in RNAcentral is "long non-coding RNA (CMAX_LNC001021)". Lineage: Eukaryota; Viridiplantae; Streptophyta; Magnoliopsida; Sapindales; Rutaceae. The record is from RNAcentral.
GAAUAUAUUAGUUAAGUAUACAAUUUAAAUAUAAUACAUAUUGCAAUAGUUAUAAUUAUUUGUGGGACAUAUUUUACAAUAAGACUUAGAUCUUCAUGUGGUCGUCUUUCUCGAAGUUCUUUCUCAAACAACUGAAAUUUAAGAGACAAGCAUUCCAUUUGAUGCCCCAGCCUGCGAACUUCUCCUAAUAAGAUGUCAAUUUUGUUCUUGUUCAUGCUUCGAUCUUCCAUCCCUCCAAAGUCAUUACAUUCACUACUCUUCCGAUCAUCAUCCCAUUCAAAAGCCCCACAUCCUUUGCACUUCCAAAACUUACGAUUCAGAUUUUCUCUCGUACGUGAAAUUCGUAAGACCUUAUUAUUAUUGCUGCAUUUUUCACAAGCUUUCACAUGUGUUCGAUUUUCACUUGUGUUGCUACAA